GACGAACGCUGGCGGCGUGCCUAAUACAUGCAAGUUGAGCGCUGAAGGUUGGUACUUGUACCAACUGGAUGAGCAGCGAACGGGUGAGUAACGCGUGGGGAAUCUGCCUUUGAGCGGGGGACAACAUUUGGAAACGAAUGCUAAUACCGCAUAAAAACUUUAAACACAAGUUUUAAGUUUGAAAGAUGCAAUUGCAUCACUCAAAGAUGAUCCCGCGUUGUAUUAGCUAGUUGGUGAGGUAAAGGCUCACCAAGGCGAUGAUACAUAGCCGACCUGAGAGGGUGAUCGGCCACAUUGGGACGGAGACACGGCCCAAACGCCUACGGGAGGCAGCAGUAGGGAAUCUUCGGCAAGGGACGAAAGUCUGACCGAGCAACGCCGCGUGAGUGAAGAAGGUUUUCGGAUCGUAAAACUCUGUUGGUAGAGAAGAACGUUGGUGAGAGUGGAAAGCUCAUCAAGUGACGGUAACUACCCAGAAAGGGACGGCUAACUACGUG
RNAcentral lists this ribosomal RNA (497 nucleotides) under uncultured bacterium. Its description in RNAcentral is "partial 16S ribosomal RNA". It matches the Rfam family "Bacterial small subunit ribosomal RNA", at positions 28 to 507 of the family's 1533-position model. The record is from RNAcentral.